Molecule: ribosomal RNA, 507 nt
Filed under: uncultured Oscillospiraceae bacterium
Lineage: Bacteria; Bacillati; Bacillota; Clostridia; Eubacteriales; Oscillospiraceae
Description: bacterial SSU rRNA
Rfam family: Bacterial small subunit ribosomal RNA
Source: RNAcentral
GGAAGUUUGUAGUCCUGGCGUCAGGAUGAACGCUGGCGGCGUGCUUAACACAUGCAAGUCGAACGGAGUACCCCUGAAGGAGUUUUCGGACAACUGAUGGGACGUACUUAGUGGCGGACGGGUGAGUAACGCGUGAGUAACCUGCCUUGGAUGGGGAAGUAACAGCUGGAAACAGCUGCUAAUACCGCAUAAUAUGUCUGUGUCGCAUGGCACUGGACAUCAAAGAUUUAUCGCUCUGAGAUGGACUCGCGUCUGAUUAGCUAGUUGCGGGGUAACGGCCCACCAAGGCGACGAUCAGUAGCCGGACUGAGAGGUUGGCCGGCCACAUUGGGACUGAGACACGGCCCAGACUCCUACGGGAGGUAGCAGUGGGGAAUAUUGGGCAAUGGGCGCAAGCCUGACCCAGCAACGCCGCGUGAAGGAAGAAGGCUUUCGGGUUGUAAACUUCUUUUCUCAGGGACGAAGCAAGUGACGGUACCUGAGGAAUAAGCCACGGCUAACUACGUG